RNAcentral lists this long non-coding RNA (702 nucleotides) under Panax ginseng (ginseng). RNAcentral describes it as "long non-coding RNA (PGIN_LNC015907)". Lineage: Eukaryota; Viridiplantae; Streptophyta; Magnoliopsida; Apiales; Araliaceae. The record is from RNAcentral.
GAUGAUGUGUUGGAUGAAGUUGAGAAGAAGGGUGGGAAUGAAAUUUAAUUGGUUAAUGAAGUUGGUGAUGAUGUGUCAAUAUUCGUGGAGAAGAAUGAUGUGAAUGUAAUUGAGAUUGCUAAUGAAGUUGAAUGUGCUAUUAUGGUUGAAGAACCCGAUGAAAAAAAAAUAAUGAUGAUGAUGAAGAAGAUGUCAAGGUUAGACAUAUUUGUUUGUUUUGUUAUGUGAUAUAUGUCUUUUGUUUUAAUUAUUAAAUGGUUCUUUAUUUUGUGUAGAUUGACAAUAAUAAUGACAUGCCGUCUUUUGACAUAUUAAGCCAAUGUACUGGGAAAGAGAUUGUUGUGUAUGAUGCUGAUAAGGUUAGUGUUAUAAUUAUGGGCCAUCAUUUAUUUAAAUGUUAUUUAUGUUUUGGUUACCAUUAUAUAGUGAAUUGGUUACUAUGAUAUUGUGUUUUGGUUACCAUAAUAUUGUGUUUUGGCUACUAUUAUAUUAUGAUUUGGUUACUAGUUUAUGUUAUUCAGAUUACUAAUAUAACAUGUUCAUUUUAGUUUGUUGGCUGUUGUACAGUCAGUUGGUUAUUAGUUUAUUUUAUUCAGGUUACUAAUCGUAUAUAUUACCUUUUUAUGUCAACUGAAAAAGGGAAAGAAAGGUGAGACAGCAAGCAGGUAUGCUCUUGAUUUUAUGGUUCUCACCACACAGGAC